RNAcentral lists this ribosomal RNA (490 nucleotides) under uncultured bacterium. RNAcentral describes it as "partial 16S ribosomal RNA". It matches the Rfam family "Bacterial small subunit ribosomal RNA", at positions 30 to 507 of the family's 1533-position model. The record is from RNAcentral.
AUUGAACGCUGGCGGCAGGCCUAACACAUGCAAGUCGAAUGGUAACAGGAAACGGCUUGCUGUUUCGCUGACGAGUGGCGGACGGGUGAGUAAUGUCUGGGAAACUGCCUGAUGGAGGGGGAUAACUACUGGAAACGGUAGCUAAUACCGCAUAACGUCGCAAGACCAAAGAGGGGGACCUUCGGGCCUCUUGCCAUCAGAUGUGCCCAGAUGGGAUUAGCUAGUAGGUGGGGUAACGGCUCACCUAGGCGACGAUCCCUAGCUGGUCUGAGAGGAUGACCAGCCACACUGGAACUGAGACACGGUCCAGACUCCUACGGGAGGCAGCAGUGGGGAAUAUUGCACAAAGGGCGCAAGCCUGAUGCAGCCAUGCCGCGUGUAUGAAGAAGGCCUUCGGGUUGUAAAGUACUUUCAGCGGGGAGGAAGGGAGUAAAGUUAAUACCUUUGCUCAUUGACGUUACCCGCAGAAGAAGCACCGGCUAACUCCGUG